RNAcentral lists this ribosomal RNA (253 nucleotides) under uncultured bacterium. RNAcentral describes it as "partial 16S ribosomal RNA". It matches the Rfam family "Bacterial small subunit ribosomal RNA", at positions 524 to 776 of the family's 1533-position model. The record is from RNAcentral.
UACGGAGGGGGCUAGCGUUGUUCGGAAUUACUGGGCGUAAAGCGUGCGCAGGCGGUUUGUAAGUCAGAUGUGAAAUCCCCGGGCUUAACCUGGGAACUGCGUUUGAAACUACAAGGCUAGAGUGUGGCAGAGGGGGGUGGAAUUCCACGGUGUAGCAGUGAAAUGCGUAGAGAUGUGGAGGAACACCGAUGGCGAAGGCAGCCCCCUGGGUUAACACUGACGCUCAGGCACGAAAGCGUGGGGAGCAAACAGG